Molecule: long non-coding RNA, 1071 nt
Filed under: Macaca mulatta (Rhesus monkey)
Lineage: Eukaryota; Metazoa; Chordata; Mammalia; Primates; Cercopithecidae
Description: lncRNA (ENSMMUG00000054035.1)
Source: RNAcentral
UGCGAACCGCGAGGAGGUUCCACGCGGAUAGGGCCACAGCCCCCGCCGGAGCCCCAACACUAGCCCUGGACUUCUCCACCGACUUACGACAUGAGAGCUCAAUAUCUCCUUAUUUAACGCACUGUUGUAUCAGGUCCCUGUCGCAGCCACUGGCCCUAUAGCCUAAUAAAGGAGCGGGUGCACGCAUUGGGUUGGUGAGCUACCGCCACAGCAACGCGCGUCCUAAUCAACCAUCCCAAACGGCGGCUGUAAUAAGGUUUUCGCAGGCUUGGGCUUCAACGCUGGGCCGGCCGCUGUGCUCUGCGGCUCCCUGAAGGCCUGCGGAUCGGCCAGGGGUCUGCGUUCUUUCUGGGCCGAGGCUGAAGAAGCAGCGACUGCACCAGAAAGGCCUUCUGGGUGAAGGUGGAAGCGCACGGGGCCCGCGGAACGGCCUAAGGCAUCUUCAGGCGUGGGCUUGGAAUUGGUAGGCUUUCGUUUCUGCUUCAUUCCAUGGCUAGUGCAAGCCACGUGGGCAAGCCUGAAGCCAGGGGGCGGGAAAGUACCCUCCACCCACAAGGAAACCAUGGCAAGUGGUGGGUGCACGUAGGGAUGAGGCAUGGGGCCAAUAGUCUAUCUAUCCCAUGAGGAGCCCUGCUUUGGGGGUUGCACACUCGGUCUGCCCUUGCAGUGGUGUCUGUCACUAUGAAGACCCCGCCACAGGUCGCCAUCAGGUCAGGGACCCUGACAAGAUGCAAAAACCAAGGCCAAACAGCUAAGUUUUUUGCCCUGGAGGAGGAAAGUGGCCUCUGAAAGCCAGAAGACUCUCACAUUACAGCAUUCCUGCCGGUUGCUGUCAAGAGCUGCUAAGCUGUCCUCAAGUCCUGUGUCUGAUGUCAAGCUAAUAAAAGAUUUAGGGUGCAUUAGUAAAGGUAUCUUAAGUCUAGAUGCCUUCGAGAUUAGAUUCAGUCAUGAUGAGCAGCUAAGGAUUAACAAGAAAGAUUACAAAUUGUUUCCAGGAAUUUAUUUCUUUAAACACUGAUUAUAUAUAUAUAUAUAGUCUUAAGUCAAAUUAACAUGUUGUUUAUGUUCAGC